This 253-nucleotide ribosomal RNA is filed under the name uncultured bacterium. RNAcentral describes it as "partial 16S ribosomal RNA". It matches the Rfam family "Bacterial small subunit ribosomal RNA", at positions 524 to 776 of the family's 1533-position model. The record is from RNAcentral.
UACGAAGGGGGCUAGCGUUGCUCGGAAUCACUGGGCGUAAAGCGCACGUAGGCGGAUUGUUAAGUCAGGGGUGAAAUCCUGGAGCUCAACUCCAGAACUGCCUUUGAUACUGGCGAUCUCGAGCUCGGGAGAGGUGAGUGGAAUUCCCAGUGUAGCGGUGAAAUGCGUAGAUAUUGGGAGGAACACCAGUGGCGAAGGCGGCUCAUUGGACCGGAACUGACGCUGAGGCGCGAAAGCGUGGGGAGCAAACGGG